UGCUCAGUAACGGCGAGUGAAGCGGCAAGAGCUCAAAUUUGAAAGCUGGCCCCUUCGGGGUCCGCGUUGUAAUUUGCAGAGGAUGCUUCGGGUGCGGCCCCUGUCUAAGUGCCCUGGAACGGGCCGUCAGAGAGGGUGAGAAUCCCGUCUUGGGCAGGGUGCCCGUGCCCGUGUGAAGCUCCUUCGACGAGUCGAGUUGUUUGGGAAUGCAGCUCUAAAUGGGUGGUAAAUUUCAUCUAAAGCUAAAUACCGGCCGGAGACCGAUAGCGCACAAGUAGAGUGAUCGAAAGAUGAAAAGCACUUUGAAAAGAGAGUUAAACAGCACGUGAAAUUGUUGAAAGGGAAGCGCUUGCGACCAGACUCGGCCCCGGGGUUCAGCCAGCACUCGUGCUGGUGUACUUCCCCGGGGGCGGGCCAGCGUCGGUUUGGGCGGCCGGUCAAAGGCCCCAGGAAUGUAUCGCCCUCCGGGGUUGUCUUAUAGCCUGGGGUGCAAUGCGGCCAGCCCGGACCGAGGAACGCGCUUCGGCACGGACGCUGGCGUAAUGGUCGCAAACGACCCGUCUUGAAACACGGACCAAGGAGUCUAACAUCUACGCGAGUGUUCGGGUGUCAAACCCGUACGCGCAGUGAAAGCGAACGGAGGUGGGAGCCCCCCCGGGGCGCACCAUCGACCGAUCCUGAUGUCUUCGGAUGGAUUUGAGUAAGAGCGUAGCUGUGGGGACCCGAAAGAUGGUGAACUAUGCCUGAAUAGGGCGAAGCCAGAGGAAACUCUGGUGGAGGCUCGCAGCGGUUCUGACGUGCAAAUCGAUCGUCAAAUUUGGGUAUAGGGCGAAAGAC
Molecule: ribosomal RNA, 837 nt
Filed under: Aspergillus quadrilineatus
Lineage: Eukaryota; Fungi; Ascomycota; Eurotiomycetes; Eurotiales; Aspergillaceae
Description: LSU rRNA
Rfam family: Eukaryotic large subunit ribosomal RNA
Source: RNAcentral